GAUGAAGAACGCAGCGAAAUGCGAUAAUUAAUGUGAAUUGCAGAAUUCAGUGAAUCAUCGAGUCUUUGAACGCACAUUGCGCCCCCUGGUAUUCCGGGGGGCAUGCCUGUCCGAGCGUCAUUGCUGCCCUCAAGCACGGCUUGUGUGUUGGGCCUCCGUCCUCCUCCCGGGGGACGGGCCCGAAAGGCAGCGGCGGCACCGCGUCCGGUCCUCGAGCGUAUGGGGCUUCGUCACCCGCUCUUGUAGGCCCGGCCGGCGCUUGCCGACACAUCAAUCUUUUUUCCAGGUUGACCUCGGAUCAGGUAGGGAUACCCGCUGAACUUAAGCAUAUCAAUAAGCGGAGGA
This 345-nucleotide unclassified non-coding RNA is filed under the name soil metagenome. RNAcentral's name for it is "partial contains 5.8S ribosomal RNA, internal transcribed spacer 2, and large subunit ribosomal RNA". The stretch from base 1 to 120 matches the Rfam family "5.8S ribosomal RNA", at positions 35 to 154 of the family's 154-position model. The record is from RNAcentral.